UACGGAGGGUGCAAGCGUUAUCCGGAUUCACUGGGUUUAAAGGGUGCGUAGGUGGGGAUGUAAGUCAGUGGUGAAAUCUCCGUGCUUAACAUGGAAACUGCCAUUGAUACUAUGUUUCUUGAAUUUUCUGGAGGUAAGCGGAAUAUGUCAUGUAGCGGUGAAAUGCUUAGAUAUGACAUAGAACACCAAUUGCGAAGGCAGCUUACUACGGGAACAUUGACACUGAGGCACGAAAGCGUGGGGAUCAAACAGG
RNAcentral lists this ribosomal RNA (253 nucleotides) under uncultured bacterium. RNAcentral describes it as "partial 16S ribosomal RNA". It matches the Rfam family "Bacterial small subunit ribosomal RNA", at positions 524 to 776 of the family's 1533-position model. The record is from RNAcentral.